AUGCCAAUAGCAGUGCUGGGUAGCUAUGAUCGGACAGGAUAACCGCUGAAGGCAUCUAAGCGGGAAGCCCCCCUCAAAACAAGGUAUCCCUGAGAGCCGAGGUAGACCACCUCGUCGAUAGGCCAGAGAUGUAAGCGUGGUAACACGUUCAGUUGACUGGUACUAAUUGCUCGAUAGGCUUGAUUUGAUCCAG
RNAcentral lists this ribosomal RNA (193 nucleotides) under Sulfitobacter sp. HI0082. RNAcentral's name for it is "partial 23S ribosomal RNA". It matches the Rfam family "Bacterial large subunit ribosomal RNA", at positions 2726 to 2925 of the family's 2925-position model. Lineage: Bacteria; Pseudomonadati; Pseudomonadota; Alphaproteobacteria; Rhodobacterales; Roseobacteraceae. The record is from RNAcentral.